AGUGAACGCUGGCGGUAGGCCUAACACAUGCAAGUCGAACGGCAGCACAGAUGAGCUUGCUCCUUGGGUGGCGAGUGGCGGACGGGUGAGGAAUACAUCGGAAUCUACUCUGUCGUGGGGGAUAACGUAGGGAAACUUACGCUAAUACCGCAUACGACCUACGGGUGAAAGCAGGGGAUCUUCGGACCUUGCGCGAUUGAAUGAGCCGAUGUCGGAUUAGCUAGUUGGCGGGGUAAAGGCCCACCAAGGCGACGAUCCGUAGCUGGUCUGAGAGGAUGAUCAGCCACACUGGAAAGGAGACACGGUCCAGACUCCUACGGGAGGCAGCAGUGGGGAAUAUUGGACAAUGGGCGCAAGCCUGAUCCAGCCAUACCGCGUGGGUGAAGAAGGCCUUCGGGUUGUAAAGCCCUUUUGUUGGGAAAGAAAUCCAUCUGGUUAAUACCCGGGUGGGAUGACGGUACCCAAAGAAUAAGCACCGGCUAACUUCGUGCCAGCCGCCGCCGUAA
RNAcentral lists this ribosomal RNA (506 nucleotides) under uncultured bacterium. RNAcentral describes it as "partial 16S ribosomal RNA". It matches the Rfam family "Bacterial small subunit ribosomal RNA", at positions 29 to 523 of the family's 1533-position model. The record is from RNAcentral.